This 615-nucleotide ribosomal RNA is filed under the name Propontonia pellucida. RNAcentral describes it as "partial 12S ribosomal RNA". It matches the Rfam family "Bacterial small subunit ribosomal RNA", at positions 506 to 1501 of the family's 1533-position model. Lineage: Eukaryota; Metazoa; Arthropoda; Malacostraca; Decapoda; Palaemonidae. The record is from RNAcentral.
UGCCAGCAGCUGCGGUUAGACUGUGAGGGUUCUGAAGAUUUGUCGGGCAGUAGUUAGUUAUAAGGACAAUUCUAGAAUAUAGUCAUUAUAUGAGGGGGUGGAAUCUAUAUAUAGACAUGGUGUGAUUCUGAGAGUGUCCGAUGACUAGGCUACGAGGGAGUGGGCCUAAACUAGGAUUAGAUACCCUAUUAUACCAUUCUGCUAAUAUAUUGUGCUUGAGUAGUAAACAGUUAUGAGCUCGAAAUUCAAAGGAAUUGGCGGUGCUUCAGUCUAGUUAGAGGAACCUGUACUUUAAUACGAUAUGCCACGAAGUAUCUUACUUGUCCUUGUACUACACUCAGUCAGUAUACCGCCAUUAUCAGGUAACAUUAAAAAGUGUUUACUGCAAUGGAAAGGAGGGUCAAUUAAAUUAGGUCAAGGUGCUGCCUAUGGGUAAGUAGCUAUGGGUUACAAUGAUUUUUAUUCAUAUAACGGAUAGGGGUUUGAAAUUUUCUCCUUUAAGGUGGAUUUAAUAGUAAGUCUAUUUCAAUAAGGUAAACUGAUAGUAGCCCUGGGGUGUGUACAUAUUGCCCGUCGCUCUCACACCAAUGUGAGAUAAGUCGUAACAAAGUAGGA